UGCGCGCGAACGCCUGCG
Molecule: unclassified non-coding RNA, 18 nt
Filed under: Chlamydomonas reinhardtii
Lineage: Eukaryota; Viridiplantae; Chlorophyta; Chlorophyceae; Chlamydomonadales; Chlamydomonadaceae
Description: small RNA Cre_3098
Source: RNAcentral